Molecule: ribosomal RNA, 499 nt
Filed under: uncultured bacterium
Lineage: Bacteria
Description: partial 16S ribosomal RNA
Rfam family: Bacterial small subunit ribosomal RNA
Source: RNAcentral
GACGAACGCUGGCGGCGUGCCUAAUACAUGCAAGUCGAGCGAAGUUUUUCUGGUGCUUGCACUAGAAAAACUUAGCGGCGAACGGGUGAGUAACACGUAAAGAACCUGCCUCAUAGACUGGGACAACUAUUGGAAACGAUAGCUAAUACCGGAUAACAGCAUUAACUGCAUGGUUGAUGUUUAAAAGUUGGUUUUGCUAACACUAUGAGAUGGCUUUGCGGUGCAUUAGCUAGUUGGUGGGGUAAAGGCCUACCAAGGCGACGAUGCAUAGCCGACCUGAGAGGGUGAUCGGCCACACUGGGACUGAGACACGGCCCAGACUCCUACGGGAGGCAGCAGUAGGGAAUCUUCCGCAAUGGGCGAAAGCCUGACGGAGCAACGCCGCGUGAGUGAAGAAGGAUUUCGGUUCGUAAAGCUCUGUUGUUAGGGAAGAAUGAUUGUGUAGUAACUAUACACAGUAGGGACGGUACCUAACCAGAAAGCCACGGCUAACUACGUG